Molecule: ribosomal RNA, 1080 nt
Filed under: uncultured Rhizaria
Lineage: Eukaryota
Description: SSU rRNA
Rfam family: Eukaryotic small subunit ribosomal RNA
Source: RNAcentral
CGGUAAUUCCAGCUCCAAUAGCGUAUACUAAAGUUGUUGCAGUUAAAAAGCUCGUAGUUGGAUUUCUGCGGGGACGGAGCGGCCGGACGCAACUUACGUCUCGAGCCGGCGCUUUCCCCACAUCCUGCCGCGAACCGUGCUACCAUUAGUUUGGUGGCGCUGGGGAUCGGCUCGAUUACUUUGAGAAAAAUAGAGUGUUCAAAGCAGGCCACACGCCUUGAAUAAGUUAGCAUGGAAUAAUGACUAAGGACUUUGGUUCUUUUCGUUGGUGUUCGGGACUGAAGUAAUGAUUGAUAGGGACAGUUGGGGCGGUCCGUAUUCCAAAGCGAGAGGUGAAAUUCUUAGACCUUCGGAAGACGAACAGCUGCGAAAGCGUUCCGCAAGGAUGUCCCCUUUGAUCAAGAACGAAAGUUGGGGGAUCGAAGACGAUCAGAUACCGUCGUAGUCUCAACUAUAAACUAUACCAGCUAGGGAUCGGCCAACGUUUAAUUAUUCGACUUGGUCGGCACCUUAUGAGAAAUCAAAGCAUCUGGGUUCCGGGGGGAGUAUGGUCGCAAGGCUGAAACUUAAAGGAAUUGACGGAAGGGCACCACCAGGCGUGGAGCCUGUGGCUUAAUUUGACUCAACACGGGAAAACUUACCAGGUCCAGACAUAGGAAGGAUUGACAGAUUGAUAGCUCUUUCUUGAUUCUGUGGGUGGUGGUGCAUGGCCGUUUUUAGUCGGUGAAGUGAUUUGUCUGCUUAAUUGCGUUAACGGACGAGACCCCAGCCUGCUAAAUAGCGCGGUCGAGCUUUGCUCGGCACGAGCUUCUUAGAGGGACCAUGAUGCGCGAUAGCACAAGGAAGUUUGGGGCAACAACAGGUCUGUGAUGCCCUUAGAUGUUCUGGGCCGCACACGGGCUACACUGGCGCCUGCAACGAGCAUAUCAGCUGGCCCGAGAGGGUCUUGGCUAAUCUUUGGAACCGGCGCCGUGCUUGGGAUUGACCAUUGCAAUUGUUGGUCAUGCAACGAGGAAUGCCUUGUAAACGCGAGUCAUCAGCUCGCAUUGAAUACGUCCCUGCUCUUUGUACACACCGCCC